GAUGAACGCUGGCGGCGUGCCUAAUACAUGCAAGUCGAGCGAACGGACGAGAAGCUUGCUUCUCUGAUGUUAGCGGCGGACGGGUGAGUAACACGUGGAUAACCUACCUAUAAGACUGGGAUAACUUCGGGAAACCGGAGCUAAUACCGGAUAAUAUUUUGAACCGCAUGGUUCAAAAGUGAAAGACGGUCUUGCUGUCACUUAUAGAUGGAUCCGCGCUGCAUUAGCUAGUUGGUAAGGUAACGGCUUACCAAGGCAACGAUGCAUAGCCGACCUGAGAGGGUGAUCGGCCACACUGGAACUGAGACACGGUCCAGACUCCUACGGGAGGCAGCAGUAGGGAAUCCUCCGCAAUGGGCGAAAGCCUGACGGAGCAACGCCGCGUGAGUGAUGAAGGUCUUCGGAUCGUAAAACUCUGUUAUUAGGGAAGAACAUAUGUGUGAGUAACUGUGCACAUCUUGACGGUACCUAAUCAGAAAGCCACGGCUAACUACGUG
Molecule: ribosomal RNA, 497 nt
Filed under: uncultured bacterium
Lineage: Bacteria
Description: partial 16S ribosomal RNA
Rfam family: Bacterial small subunit ribosomal RNA
Source: RNAcentral